UACGGAGGGGGCUAGCGUUGUUCGGAAUUACUGGCGUAAAGCGCACGUAGGCGGCUUUGUAAGUUAGAGGUGAAAGCCCGGGGCUCAACUCCGGAAUUGCCUUUAAGACUGCAUCGCUAGAAUUGUGGAGAGGUAAGUGGAAUUCCGAGUGUAGAGGUGAAAUUCGUAGAUAUUCGGAAGAACACCAGUGGCGAAGGCGACUUACUGGACACAUAUUGACGCUGAGGUGCGAAAGCGUGGGGAGCAAACAGG
RNAcentral lists this ribosomal RNA (252 nucleotides) under uncultured bacterium. RNAcentral describes it as "partial 16S ribosomal RNA". It matches the Rfam family "Bacterial small subunit ribosomal RNA", at positions 524 to 776 of the family's 1533-position model. The record is from RNAcentral.